GUGUUAGCUCUCUUAAUUACUAUAAAAAAAAUAAUUAGUGACAACCCCCCUCUCCCUCACCUCCCCUGGAAAAAAAAAAAUAACGGAAAGAAAAGAAAGGCAAAUAUAUGGGUGAAGGAAGGAAGGAUUUCCCCCUCUGGAAGGAUGCAUGCUUGAUAUGGAUCUUUUGUUUGCCCUGUGAACUCGGUGAAUACAGUGGCAAACAGAUGCUGCAGUUCGCGAGGCUUGUGCACUUGAAGGGAAUUGGGUUAGAGGCUCUUUCUGGGGCUUUGGAGUCGCAGCUGGAGCUCUUGCUCUCUGCCUCCUUCCCUUCCCUUCCCUGUUCAAGGCUGAGUGGCUUUAUGGGACCUGCCAGCUCGCAUCAGAGAGACUGGGGAGUAUUCAUGCAGGCACCUGCGGAUCUUCUGGAUCAGUAAAAUGGGAAAAAGUCUUGCAUCCUGCUGUGAUUGACUGCAUACCACUUGUAUGCACAGCAUCAAUAGGAAGUUGAAUAAAAUCUUGGUCAUUGGCUUGGUCAUUGUGCAGCCCUUCAAAUCCUUGGUGAAACUUCACCAUUGUAACUGCUUGCACAAUCAAAUAAUGGUAAGUCAUAAAAAAGAACUUAAUGAAUAAACAACUGAUAUAAAUUUUGAACCUACAAAACAAAGUGAUACAUUAGAGAGGUGUGGAAAAAAAACAUCCAGUUCUGUGAAGAUCUGCAUUCAUGCAGCUUAUCAAUACAGAUGAGUCAACUAAUGAAACCCCACAUCCCAUAAAGGUAGACAAUUUUUCUCUGCCUUUGAAGCAGAAAUAAAUCACAUGUAUUACCAUGCCUAAAGAAAACAGAUUUUUCUGUUGAAUUAUUCCUUUAUCUAUUAUAUGAACUACAACAUUGCUACAAAUCAGAAGAUAUAAAAACACUCCAAACCAUUAUUUUGUUAAACACCACCAUAUUUCACUGAGCAAAACUGAUGGCAGAAGAGGCAAGAAACACGAGACCACCAUUUUUUAACUCACUAGUCAUCUCUAUUAUGUGACAGAUUAUCACAUCAGAUUUUCCCCCUUCUCUCCACUCUUUUCUCUAUCUGCAUGAUAACAGCAUUUUAAUGCAUCCUUUGACAAUAUGUAGGCAAGUCUCUCUUCAAAAACCUCUAUUGCAGCCUAGGAUCCUGUCUAAUUCUAUUAUUUUAUGAAAAGCUUUCCCAGCACAGAAGAAUUUGAUCUAAGCUGUUCUGCUUUCCAAAUGAAAAUGUCUUAAGAUCGCAGUGUUUUUUUCUCCCCAGUCUCCAAGUUUCCCUCCCCUCUUCCCUCAGGUGAAAUUUAAAGCAAAAGGAAAACCACCUGCAGUGGGUAUCAUUGCACAGCUGGCAGAGGAGCACAGCUGGGUUUUCUAUUUCUUAGGUACAACAACUAUGCUAAGCCUCAAAAAAACCUCCAACCUGUUGUAGGCCAUAGAGUAUGUUCGCUCCAGUAUUUCACGGUCACAUUUCCCUCUCCUCCCUGCAUGCCCAGUUCUCAACAUCCCUGCAGUUUUCUGUAGGAGAAGGAUCGUGUUCUGUCCCAAAAUGUCAUAUGGUCUUCUAGCAGCUUCCAGACAUUGAUACCCAGAGUCAGUUUAGA
Lagopus muta (rock ptarmigan) is the source of this 1599-nucleotide long non-coding RNA. RefSeq lists it as uncharacterized. The transcript has 3 exons. NCBI's taxonomy places the organism in Eukaryota, Metazoa, Chordata, Aves, Galliformes, Phasianidae. The record is from RefSeq and is a predicted model, not a curated record.